This 407-nucleotide ribosomal RNA is filed under the name uncultured bacterium. Its description in RNAcentral is "partial 16S ribosomal RNA". It matches the Rfam family "Bacterial small subunit ribosomal RNA", at positions 28 to 526 of the family's 1533-position model. The record is from RNAcentral.
GACGAACGCUGGCGGCGCGCUUAACACAUGCAAGUCGAGCGAAGCAGCGGACGGGUGAGUAACACGUGAGUAACCUGCCUUAGACAUUGGGAUAGCCUCGGGAAACCGGGAUUAAUACCAAAUGGUCUAAGAUGGACUCGCGUCCCAUUAGCAAGUUGGUGAGGUAACGGCCCACCAACGCGUCGAUGGGUAGCCGGCCUGAGAGGGUGAACGGCCACAUUGGAACGGAGAAGCGGUCCAAACUCUACGGGAGGCAGCAGAGGGGAAUAUUGCACAAUGGAGGGAACUCUGAUGCAGCGAGGGUGGGUGAACGAAGAAGGCUGGCGAGUAGUAAAGUUGGUUUAUAUGGGAAGCGGUACCAUAAGAAAAAGCCCCGGCUAACUACGUGCCAGCAGCCGCGGUAAUUC